Molecule: transfer RNA, 69 nt
Filed under: pig gut metagenome
Rfam family: tRNA
About the family: Transfer RNA (tRNA) molecules are approximately 80 nucleotides in length. Their secondary structure includes four short double-helical elements and three loops (D, anti-codon, and T loops).
Source: RNAcentral
CAAUGUAGCUCAGCUGGUAGAGCAGUGCAUUCGUAAUGCUCAGGUCAAGGGUUCGAGUCCCUUCAUUGG